RNAcentral lists this ribosomal RNA (483 nucleotides) under uncultured bacterium. Its description in RNAcentral is "partial 16S ribosomal RNA". It matches the Rfam family "Bacterial small subunit ribosomal RNA", at positions 29 to 507 of the family's 1533-position model. The record is from RNAcentral.
UUGCACGCUGGCGGCAUGCUUUACCCAUGCAAGUCGAACGGCAGCGCGGGCUUCGGCCUGGCGGCGAGUGGCGAACGGGUGAGUAAUACAUCGGAACGUGCCCAGUAGUGGGGGAUAGCUCGGCGAAAGCCGGAUUAAUACCGCAUACGACCUGAGGGUGAAAGCGGGGGAUCUUCGGACCUCGCGCUAUUGGAGCGGCCGAUGGCAGAUUAGCUAGUUGGUGGGGUAAAGGCCUACCAAGGCGACGAUCUGUAGCUGGUCUGAGAGGACGACCAGCCACACUGGGACUGAGACACGGCCCAGACUCCUACGGGAGGCAGCAGUGGGGAAUUUUGGACAAUGGGCGAAAGCCUGAUCCAGCAAUGCCGCGUGUGUGAUGAAGGCCUUCGGGUUGUAAAGCACUUUUGGCGGGAACGAAAAGGACUGUGCCAAUACCACGGUUCGAUGACGGUACCCGCAGAAUAAGCACCGGCUAACUACGUG